Molecule: ribosomal RNA, 246 nt
Filed under: uncultured bacterium
Lineage: Bacteria
Description: partial 16S ribosomal RNA
Rfam family: Bacterial small subunit ribosomal RNA
Source: RNAcentral
CGGGCGACCGGCAAACGGGUGCGGAACACGUACACAACCUUCCUUCAAAUGGGGAAUAGCCCAGGGAAACUUGGAUUAAUACCCCGUAACAUUAUGGAGUGGCAUCACUUUAUAAUUAUAGCUCCGGCGUUUGGAGGUGGGUGUGCGGCUGAUUAGGUAGUUGGCGGGGUAACGGCCCACCAAGCCUUCGAUCAGUAACUGGUGUGAGAGCACGACCAGUCACACGGGCACUGAGACACGGGCCCG